RNAcentral lists this ribosomal RNA (401 nucleotides) under uncultured soil bacterium. RNAcentral describes it as "bacterial SSU rRNA". It matches the Rfam family "Bacterial small subunit ribosomal RNA", at positions 27 to 465 of the family's 1533-position model. The record is from RNAcentral.
GGAACGAACGCUGGCGGCAUGCCUAAUACAUGCAAGUCGAACGAACUCUUCGGAGUUAGUGGCGCACGGGUGCGUAACGCGUGGGAAUCUGCCCCUUGGUUCGGAAUAACAGUUGGAAACGACUGCUAAUACCGGAUGAUGACGAAAGUCCAAAGAUUUAUCGCCAAGGGAUGAGCCCGCGUAGGAUUAGCUAGUUGGUGAGGUAAAGGCUCACCAAGGCAACGAUCCUUAGCUGGUCUGAGAGGAUGAUCAGCCACACUGGGACUGAGACACGGCCCAGACUCCUACGGGAGCAGCAGUAGGAUAUGACAGUGGCGAAGCUGAUCCAGCAAUGCCGCGUGAGUGAUGAGGCUUAGGUGUAAGUCUCUUUACCGAGAGUAGAUAAUGACAGUAGUCGGAAG